AUUGAACGCUGGCGGCAGGCCUAACACAUGCAAGUCGAGCGGAUGAAGGGAGCUUGCUCCUGGAUUCAGCGGCGGACGGGUGAGUAAUGCCUAGGAAUCUGCCUGGUAGUGGGGGAUAACGUCCGGAAACGGGCGCUAAUACCGCAUACGUCCUGAGGGAGAAAGUGGGGGAUCUUCGGACCUCACGCUAUCAGAUGAGCCUAGGUCGGAUUAGCUAGUUGGUGGGGUAAAGGCCUACCAAGGCGACGAUCCGUAACUGGUCUGAGAGGAUGAUCAGUCACACUGGAACUGAGACACGGUCCAGACUCCUACGGGAGGCAGCAGUGGGGAAUAUUGGACAAUGGGCGAAAGCCUGAUCCAGCCAUGCCGCGUGUGUGAAGAAGGUCUUCGGAUUGUAAAGCACUUUAAGUUGGGAGGAAGGGCAGUAAGUUAAUACCUUGCUGUUUUGACGUUACCAACAGAAUAAGCGCCGGCUAACCUCGUG
This 484-nucleotide ribosomal RNA is filed under the name uncultured bacterium. RNAcentral's name for it is "partial 16S ribosomal RNA". It matches the Rfam family "Bacterial small subunit ribosomal RNA", at positions 30 to 507 of the family's 1533-position model. The record is from RNAcentral.